Molecule: ribosomal RNA, 1333 nt
Filed under: metagenome
Description: bacterial LSU rRNA
Rfam family: Bacterial large subunit ribosomal RNA
Source: RNAcentral
AUAUUGGUGGGGUCCUGUGUCUAGAAGAGUUCGCAGUUGUUCCCCGGACAACCCGUACCGUAAACCGACACAGGUGGGUGAGUGUAAGCGCACUCAGGCGCGCGAGAGAAACCUCUCUAAGGAACUCGGCACAUUAGCCUCGUAACUUCGGGAAAAGAGGUGCUCACUUCGGUGAGCCACAGUAAAUUGCGUUUAGCGACUGUUUAACAAAAACACAGCACUCUGCCAAGUCGUGAAGACGACGUAUAGGGUGUGACACGUGACCAAUGCGGAAAGAUUAAACCAUUUUGUUAGCCGCAAGGCGAAGCUCGGUGGCCAAGUCCCCGUGAAUGUCGGCCGUAACUAUAACGGUCCUAAGGUAGCGAAAUUCCUUGUCGGGUAAGUUCCGACCUGCACGAAUCGUGUAACGACUGAACGACUGUCUCGGAGAGGAUCUCGGCGAAACUGUAACGGCGGUGAAGAUGCCGCCUGCCCGCAGUAGGACGGAAAGACCCUAUGCACCUUUACUGUAAGCUCGUAUUGUGUUCUGAUUAAUUUUGCGUAGCGUAGGUGGGAGACUUUGAAGCGGGUCCUUCGGGGCCCGUGGAGUCGCAAUGUGAAACACCACUCUUAGUUAAUUAGGAUUCUAACCCCGAUUUCUGUGAAGCCAGACGGGGGACAGUGCGUGCGGGUCAGUUUGACUGGGGCGGUUUCCUCCCAAAGAGUAACGGAGGAGCGCUAAGCUUGGUUCAGCAUGGUUGGCAACUAUGCGUUGAGGGUAUGGCUAGAAACCAGGUUAACUGUGAGACGUACAUGUCGAGCAGAUGCGAAAGCAGGCCCAAAUGAUCCGACGGUAGAAUGUGGAAUUGCCGUCGCUCAUCGGACAAAAGGUACGCUAGGGAUAACAGGCUGAUCGGAUCCAAGAGUUCACAUCGACGAUCCGGUUUGGCACCUCGAUGUCGGCUCAUCGCAUCCUGGGGCUGGAGAAGGUCCCAAGGGUCCGGCUGUUCGCCGGUUAAAGUUACGCGAGCUGGGUUCAGAACGUCGUGAGACAGUUCGGUCCUUAUCCACUGUGGGCGCAGGAAACUUGAGGGGUUCUAACCUUAGUACGAGAGGACCGGGUUAGACGCACUUCUGGUGUGGCAGUUGUUCCAUCCGGGGCAUCGCUGCGUAGCCAUGUGCGGAAGAGAUAAGCGCUGAAAGCAUCUAAGUGCCAAGCUCCUCCCAAGAUAUUGUUUCCCGGGGCGCAAGCCCCCUAAAGACCACGGGCAGACUACCCGUUUGAUAGGCUAGAAAUGUAAUCACCGUGAGGUGUUCAGUUGACUAGUACUAAUCGGUCGUGAGGCUUGAUCAG